CUCCCUGUUGCUUCCGCCUCCGGGGAGGGGGUGCGGGCCGCGCAGCCGGGGCCUGGACGGCGGGCCCUGGGCGUCCAGCCCUGGGUCUGGCCUGAAACGUGUAUCUCCCCGCGAAGGCCCGAGGGCAGGGGCGAGAUCUUGGGGAGUCGGGGAGGGGACGGGAUCAGGUUGGGCCGGAGACCGGCUAAACCCGGCCUGUGUCUCCCUCGUGCUCCACGGCCCCACGCGCGGCCCGCCUGCUUGGCAGGUGAGGUGGCGCCGAGGCGGGCCCCGCGGGGCUGCCCAGAGUCGCGCAGCUCCUCUGCGCCGGGGCGAAGCAUCUGUUCUCGCUGCCACGGGCCACCGCUUGUGAAACCAGAGGGGCCUGACAGGGCCACUGGAGGAACGCCACUGAGUGUCCCCCUGGCUGGCUGUGAAGAGAAGCUUCCACGUGGACCCUUUGGGGAUUAGAUACAGAAGCCUGGGAUUGGGUGGGAGUGAAUGGUGGUCAUGGCUAAACUAUCUGGAUUCUGAACUGCUUUUCUUCAGUAAAAUGCUCGUUUUUGGUCACCUAACUCAUCGAUUCUCCACUUUCCAACCGAAUCUACUCUCUCCUGCGUGGCAUCCAGGAGGCCAAUGGCCAGCGUCAGUGGAUCUUCACCAACGGGGUGCCCGUUGCGAGCUGAGACCAAGCAGAGAGGCUGGGGCCUUUCUUCCCUCAUCUGCACCCUGGCCUGGCAGUGUCUGUGUCCUUCAGUGACCACAGUGCUUGCCCAGCUUUCUUUUCUGUUGGAUCAAUUCGUGUCAGGCGCCGAAUGAGUGGGUGACAGUUGUCACCCCAUGCUUCCUACAGCCAGGCAGCGGGGUCAGCUGGGCCCUGGGGAGCAGCACCUCUGGUAGGUCGUGGAGCCACGUUCACACUGCAGCAGGUGGUCCUGUCGCCAUGCGGUCUUCCACAUCUCCUCCCAGGAACGCCUUCUGCUUUCUGCCGGGACCCUGGCUGCUCGAGACAGAUAUUGACUGACCUAGCACCUUGCGAACGGUGACAUUUGCAGGGGGCGGGUGGAAGGACACAGGCAGAGGCCACACAAGGCCACAGGAUAAAGGCUGUGUGCCUUUCAGGGACGCCUGUUUUGUUCAGUGGUCAAUGCUAAUUUCAUCUUGUAGUAAACACUGUGGUGGCCACAGCCAUGCCCUCCAUCCUUGCUGGCAGAAGCCCACCUUGGUGCAGGUAGCCACCCUCUGCGUGGCUAGGGGUAAACUGGUCCAUGUGAGCUAAUCUCGGUAACUCCACACCUCUUUUUGUGACUGGUUUUGAAACAAGUUUUAAACCAGUGAAUCCUGCUGUUGGGAAAGGUCUCCUCACUUGUAAAAAGCACAUAAAGAGGACAUGCUCCUCAUUUCCUGCCGGAUGUUGUGUGUCUGGAUGUGAUGGCUGGCGUUUCGCAGCCUUCUUGCGUCCGUGAUGUGACAGGAACAGCAUCACAGUGGGGAUGGCAGCGUGGAGAGAUGGGAAGAGCAUGGGUCCUUGGUGACACCACUGGGCCACUACCCUAACUUGGAUUUCAUGUUUUGAGAGAUAAUAAAUAUCCUUAUUGAGUUGGAUUUUCUGUUGCUAGCGGCUCACAGCAUCCUAAUUCUAAACCUAUGGAAACAUGGGAUUGAUGUAUAUACACUAAUAUGUAUCGAAUAGAUAACUAAUAAGAACCUGCUGUAUAAAAAUAAUAAUAAUAAAAAAAUAAACCUAUGGAGCCAAA
This is a long non-coding RNA of Globicephala melas (long-finned pilot whale), 1736 nucleotides long. RefSeq lists it as uncharacterized. NCBI's taxonomy places the organism in Eukaryota, Metazoa, Chordata, Mammalia, Artiodactyla, Delphinidae. The record is from RefSeq and is a predicted model, not a curated record.